GAUUAACGCUAGCGGCAGGCCUAAUACAUGCAAGUCGAGGGGUAACAGGGUAGCAAUACCGCUGACGACCGGCGCACGGGUGAGUAACACGUAUGCAACCUACCUAUAACUGGGGAAUAGCCUUCCGAAAGGAAGAUUAACACCGCAUAAUAUCACGAGACGGCAUCGUUUUGUGAUCAAACCUCCGGGGGUUAUAGAUGGGCAUGCGUAACAUUAGCUAGUUGGUGAGGUAACGGCUCACCAAGGCGACGAUGUUUA
Molecule: ribosomal RNA, 258 nt
Filed under: uncultured bacterium
Lineage: Bacteria
Description: partial 16S ribosomal RNA
Rfam family: Bacterial small subunit ribosomal RNA
Source: RNAcentral